RNAcentral lists this small RNA (698 nucleotides) under Pan troglodytes (chimpanzee). RNAcentral's name for it is "processed transcript". Lineage: Eukaryota; Metazoa; Chordata; Mammalia; Primates; Hominidae. The record is from RNAcentral.
UUCAGCAGUAUGUAAGACCAGAGAUUAACACACAGCUGUCUGAUUUCUGCAUCAGUCUAACUGGAAUUACUCAGGAUCAGGUAGACAGAGCUGAUACCUUCCCUCAGGUGCUAAAAAAAGUAAUUGACUGGAUGAAAUUGAAGGAAUUAGGAACAAAGUAUAAAUACUCACUUUUAACAGAUGGUUCUUGGGAUAUGAGUAAGUUCUUGAACAUUCAGUGUCAACUCAGCAGGCUCAAAUACCCUCCUUUUGCUAAAAAGUGGAUCAAUAUUCGGAAGUCAUAUGGAAAUUUUUACAAGGGGGAACAUCCGCAUCCAAGAGACGCCUGCAGUCCAGGGGGCUCCAGAGGGAGGGAGUCCUGUGGAUGUGGAAGAUACGCUUUUGUCUGAGAGUCAUGAGAUUGGACUGUGGGUCCCUGUUGUUGUUAACCCCUGUGUGAUCUUGGGCAAUUCACUGUUCCUGUCUUUACCUCUACUUGCUCCUCAGUAAGUCAGAGUGAACUGAGAUCUCUUCCUGAAAUUACUUAGCCUAAUUCUAUGGUUGGUUUCUGGUGGCCAGGAACCAGAAAUAAAUCUCUCAGCAAAAUUUUGCUUAUGGACCAUGAAUCUUAGAGUAUCCAUGGUAUCACUGAUAUCUUUAAUUCCCAGAUAUUUUCCAGUAAUGAAAUUCAUAUAAUAAAGCCAGGAUCUCUGGUUCUU